RNAcentral lists this unclassified non-coding RNA (390 nucleotides) under soil metagenome. RNAcentral's name for it is "partial contains 5.8S ribosomal RNA, internal transcribed spacer 2, and large subunit ribosomal RNA". The stretch from base 1 to 122 matches the Rfam family "5.8S ribosomal RNA", at positions 35 to 154 of the family's 154-position model. The record is from RNAcentral.
GAUGAAGAACGUAGCGAAAUGCGAUACUUGGUGUGAAUUGCAGAAUCCCGCGAAUCAUCGAGUUUUUGAACGCAAGUUGCGCCCGAAGCCAUUCGGCCGAGGGCACGUCUGCCUGGGUGUCACGCAUCGUUGCCCCCCCAAACUCCGGUUCGGGCGGGGCGGAAGUUGGCCUCCCGUGCGUGCCUGCGCGCGCGGUUAGCCCAAAAGCGAGUCCUUGGCGACGAGCGCCACGACAAUCGGUGGUUUUUUUACCCUCGUUCCUCGUCGUGCGUGUCCCGUCGCCCGAACGCGCUCUUGUGACCCUCACGCGUCGCCUCGGCGGCGCUCCCAACGCGACCCCAGGUCAGGCGGGACUACCCGCUGAGUUUAAGCAUAUCAAUAAGCGGAGGA